AACAAGGCGUACCUGCGGACCUGCGGAGGGAUCAUUACCGAGUGUGAACCCCCCCGUAAAAAAGAGGGGUUACCUCCCGUCCUUUGCUGGGAACCCCUUUCCAACUUGGAAGGAGGUUGUUUUCAGACCCUUCUGCUUCGGUGGGGUAACCCACCGGAACAACCUCAAAAAUAUUCUCAAUUCAAAACCGUUCAGUCCGAGAACUUUUUUGAAAAGCGAAAAAACUUUUAACAACGGAUC
RNAcentral lists this unclassified non-coding RNA (240 nucleotides) under soil metagenome. Its description in RNAcentral is "partial contains 5.8S ribosomal RNA, internal transcribed spacer 2, and large subunit ribosomal RNA". The record is from RNAcentral.